Molecule: ribosomal RNA, 253 nt
Filed under: uncultured bacterium
Lineage: Bacteria
Description: partial 16S ribosomal RNA
Rfam family: Bacterial small subunit ribosomal RNA
Source: RNAcentral
UACAGAGGUCUCAAGCGUUGUUCGGAUUCAUUGGGCGUAAAGGGUGCGUAGGUGGCGCGGUAAGUCGGGUGUGAAAUUUCGGAGCUUAACUCCGAAACUGCAUUCGAUACUGCCGUGCUUGAGGUCUGGAGAGGAGACUGGAAUUUACGGUGUAGCGGUGAAAUGCGUAGAUAUCGGAAGGAAGACCAGUGGCGAAGGCGGGUCUCUGGACAGUUCCUGACGCUGAGGCACGAAGGUCAGGGGAGCAAACGGG